This 497-nucleotide ribosomal RNA is filed under the name uncultured bacterium. RNAcentral's name for it is "partial 16S ribosomal RNA". It matches the Rfam family "Bacterial small subunit ribosomal RNA", at positions 28 to 507 of the family's 1533-position model. The record is from RNAcentral.
GAUGAACGCUGGCGGCGUGCCUAAUACAUGCAAGUCGAGCGAACAGAUGAGGAGCUUGCUCCUCCGACGUUAGCGGCGGACGGGUGAGUAACACGUGGAUAACCUACCUAUAAGACUGGGAUAACUUCGGGAAACCGGAGCUAAUACCGGAUAAUAUAUUGAACCGCAUGGUUCAAUAGUGAAAGACGGUUUUGCUGUCACUUAUAGAUGGAUCCGCGCCGCAUUAGCUAGUUGGUAAGGUAACGGCUUACCAAGGCGACGAUGCGUAGCCGACCUGAGAGGGUGAUCGGCCACACUGGAACUGAGACACGGUCCAGACUCCUACGGGAGGCAGCAGUAGGGAAUCUUCCGCAAUGGGCGAAAGCCUGACGGAGCAACGCCGCGUGAGUGAUGAAGGUCUUCGGAUCGUAAAACUCUGUUAUUAGGGAAGAACAAAUGUGUAAGUAACUAUGCACGUCUUGACGGUACCUAAUCAGAAAGCCACGGCUAACUACGUG